GGAGAGGUGGCAGAGUGGUCGAAUGCGGCGGUCUCGAAAACCGUUAGGGGGUUUGCGCCCCCUCGAGGGUUCGAAUCCCUCCCUCUCCGCCA
Molecule: transfer RNA, 92 nt
Filed under: Pseudomonadota bacterium
Lineage: Bacteria; Pseudomonadati; Pseudomonadota
Description: Proteobacteria bacterium tRNA-Ser
Rfam family: tRNA
About the family: Transfer RNA (tRNA) molecules are approximately 80 nucleotides in length. Their secondary structure includes four short double-helical elements and three loops (D, anti-codon, and T loops).
Source: RNAcentral